Long non-coding RNA from Rhinolophus ferrumequinum (greater horseshoe bat), 1180 nucleotides. RefSeq lists it as uncharacterized. The transcript is spliced from 4 exons. NCBI's taxonomy places the organism in Eukaryota, Metazoa, Chordata, Mammalia, Chiroptera, Rhinolophidae. The record is from RefSeq and is a predicted model, not a curated record.
CCCUCUCAAGGCGGUGGCGGGAGGAGGAGCAGCGGCGGGCGGCGGCAGCGCACCCCGCGUGUGUCUGUGUGAGAGUUUGUACGGGCGUGUGCGCAGCCGAGAGUGAGCGAGCGAGCGCCCCCUCCCCGCCCCGCGCCGCUGCGCCCCUCGCCUCGCGCCCCCAGCGCUCCGAGCUCUCCGCGCGCCUCCCCGGGCUUCUGCCCCGCUCUCAGCGGACGGAAGCUAGUCGCGGUCCGGGGCUGUGACUCCCGGGCGCCAGAACCCCGGGCCGGCGAGGCGCAGAGAGGCCGGGCGAGCGGCGGAGCGGAGAAGGUGCGCCCCGGGCGCGGGUGCUAGUGCGCGAGGGGGCGCGGGGGAGCGGCUGGGAGCCGCAGGCGUGGGAGGGAGAGGGGCUGUGGGAGAGCGUGGAAAGGGGUGUGCGCAAGGUGGACCGGAUGUGAGCGCGCGGCUGCCAGGCGAGCGGGAAGGUGUGUCUCGGAGGGCUACACUACUAAAAGUACUAAAGGAACUUCUUCAAGCUGAAGGGAAAUGCUACUGAGAUGGAAACUCAUCUUUAGGAAGGAAUGAAGAGCAUUAGAAAUGCCUUGUCUGAACUUCGGCUCAACAUCCUCAAAUAUUAAUCUCACUUGCCUGUAUAUGGGUCCUGAUCGCUCCGUCUGUUCCUGUGCCACCUGGUGGGGAUUCCAUCUUUACCACCCAUCUGAGAAACCAAAAACACCCAAAAGAUACUGUGUAUUCGCCAAUAUUGACACAAGACCCACCACCAGCAAAAAGGACUUGAAUGCUCAGAUCAUUAACUUUUUAUCAAUCAAGUAUUUUAAAAUUAAGGUUAUGUAAUUUUUAAAGGAAAUGCUAUUGCAUACUUUAUUGGCUAUAGUAUAAAUGUAACUUAUAUGCACUGGGAAAUAAAAAUUCACGUGACGAACUUUACUGCGAUGAUCUGGAACCAAACCUGCACUAUCUUAGGUAUGUCUGCACUAUAAAGCCCAGCAGGCCAACAGAAUUAAAUCACCUGCCUGUAGCAAUUUCCCUAGAAGUGGCCAUGAAAAAUAACAGCAAUUUGGAAGAAACAAUAUUGAGAACAUGCAUAUCAGACACCAUUAGGCCAAGUGUGAAGAAUAAUCUAAUACAAUGUCGUCCCCAAGUGGCGAUGAUCACUGCAAUACCUAGUUACUCACUC